UGGGGAAUCUUGCGCAAUGGGCGAAAGCCUGACGCAGCAACGCCGCGUGCGGGACGAAGGCCUUCGGGUCGUAAACCGCUUUCAGCAGGGACGAAAUUGACUGUACCUGCAGAAGAAGCUCCGGCUAACUACGUGCCAGCAGCCGCGGUAAUACGUAGGGAGCAAGCGUUAUCCGGAUUUAUUGGGCGUAAAGCGCGCGUAGGCGGCUUGUUAAGUCAGAUGUGAAAGCCGGGGGCUCAACCCGCGGAUUGCAUCUGAAACUGGCAGGCUUGAGUGUGGUAGAGGAAAGUGGAAUUCCAGGUGUAGCGGUGAAAUGCGCAGAUAUCUGGAGGAACACCAGUGGCGAAGGCGGCUUUCUGGGCCACCACUGACGCUGAGGCGCGAAAGCUAGGGGAGCGAACA
Molecule: ribosomal RNA, 402 nt
Filed under: uncultured bacterium
Lineage: Bacteria
Description: partial 16S ribosomal RNA
Rfam family: Bacterial small subunit ribosomal RNA
Source: RNAcentral